Molecule: ribosomal RNA, 794 nt
Filed under: uncultured Methanomicrobiaceae archaeon
Lineage: Archaea; Methanobacteriati; Methanobacteriota; Methanomicrobia; Methanomicrobiales; Methanomicrobiaceae
Description: bacterial SSU rRNA
Rfam family: Archaeal small subunit ribosomal RNA
Source: RNAcentral
ACGGCUCAGUAACCACGGUGGACAAUCUAACCUGUGGAAGGGGGAUAACCCCGGGAAACUGGGGAUAAUACCCCUAUAGACUAUGGAUGCUGGAAUGCUCUGUAGUUGAAAGGUCCGCCGCCCAUAGGAUGGGUCUGCGGCCGAUUAGGUUGUUGUUGGGGUAACGGCCCAACAAGCCUGUAAUCGGUACGGGUUGUGGGAGCAAGAGCCCGGAGAUGGAUUCUGAGACACGAAUCCAGGCCCUACGGGGCGCAGCAGGCGCGAAAACUUUGCAAUGCGGGAAACCGUGACAGGGGAACUCCGAGUGCCCGUAAAAUCGGGCUGUCCAUCAGUUUAAAUAACUGGUGAAGAAAGGGCCGGGCAAGACCGGUGCCAGCCGCCGCGGUAAUACCGGCGGCUCGAGUGGUGGCCACUAUUACUGGGCUUAAAGCGUUCGUAGCUGGUUUGUUAAGUCUCUGGGGAAAUCUUCCGGCUUAACCGGAAGGCGUCUCAGGGAUACUGGCAGACUAGGGACCGGGAGAGGUGAGGGGUACUCCAGGGGUAGGAGUGAAAUCCUGUAAUCCUUGGGGGACCACCUGUGGCGAAGGCGCCUCACCAGAACGGCUCCGACAGUGAGGGACGAAAGCUGGGGGAGCAAACCGGAUUAGAUACCCGGGUAGUCCCAGCUGUAAACGAUGCGCGUUAGGUGUAUCGGUGACCACGAGUUACCGAGGUGCCGAAGAGAAAUCGUGAAACGUGCCGCCUGGGAAGUACGGUCGCAAGGCUGAAACUUAAAGGAAUUGGCGGGGAGCACA